CCAGGAGUUCACAGCUAGCCUGGGCAACAGAGCAAGACUUCGCCUCUUAAAAAAAAAAAAUCACCUUCUGAGGAUAUGUGAGAGACCCUGUGAGUGUGUCACCUGUAUGCUCGAGGGAAUGACCCACUCCUCCCAGCGAGGCACAUCACACCAGAUUCUGCUAUCCAAGGAUAGAGCAAGGGAUGUGCUGGUAACUCCCCUUAGACUGUAUGGGAAAGGUACAGACUUUCAGAUUGUAAUUCAUCAACGUCGAUUUUAGUCCAAUUUGGUGAAGGAGAGUAGAUUAAAAGCAGAGAAAAGAUUAGGCUCUCUCACAAAUCUCUCUCUUAAAAGACAUUCAAGGUUGCAACACCUAGGAGGGUAAGUUCAUGGGACUAGCAGUUAGGUUCCCGCAAAGCUGGAAGGAGCCACCUUAUUUUUUAGCUUUAUUGAGACCUAAGUCAGCAUCCGACCAUUUAGGUUGUCCAAGCCAGUGUUUUUAGUGUGUUCACAGAGUUGUGCAGCCAUAGUCAGUUUAGAACAUUUUCACCACCCCAAAAACAAGUCUCUGCCUGUUAAGUAGUCUCUCCCCAUUCCCCCAACCCCCAGCCCCUGGAACCUCUAACCUGCUUUCUGUCGCUCUGCAUUUCCCUGUUCUGGAAAUUUCACGUGAAAGGAAUCAUACGGUGCAUGGUCUGGGUGCCUGGCUUCUGUCACUCAGCAUGAUGGUGCUUUGGUGGCGUGUCCGUGGGGUCAUCCAUGGUGUGGCUCGUCCGUGUCAUGGCCUGUUUCCGCGCCUCGCUCCCGCUGCGGGUUUCACGGCCUUGCUCCCUCUGAGGGUUUCACUGCCUUGCUCCCGCUGCGGGUUUCACGGCCUUGCUCCCUCUGCGGGUUUCACCGCCUUGCUCCCGCUGCAGGUUUCACGGCCUUGCUCCCUCUGUGGCUGAGACCCCACUGUAUGGACAGGUCACCCUGUGUUCAUCGGUUGGUUCAUCAGUUGAUGGACAUCGGGGUUGUUUCCACCUCCUGGCCACUGUGAAUGAUGCCGCUGCGAAUGCUCACAUACAAGUUUCUGUGAGGUCACCUGGAUUCACUGCAGCCCGGCAGUUCCUCAGAGGCGUCAACAUAGAGUUGCCCUAGGACCAUCAGUGCCGAGGCUGAAAGGAAUAAGAGCGGACACCCUCGUCUUGUUCCUGACCUUAGGGGGAGGUGCCCAGUGUUCCGCAUUGAAUGUGACUUCAGCUGUGGGUUUUCCUAAACGCCCCUCAUCUGGUUGAAGCCCUAGUGUUUCUUUCUCACAUCAGAGGCAAAUGCAUUGGGGUGGGUCUGGUUUGGACAAUAAAUUUCCUCUGGUUUGGACCAAGAAAAACAGAGUUCUUUGACCGCUAACAUAUAUGUAAAAAGAAAGUUUGUAAAAACAAGAGUUAAAAUGCUUCUAACAGUGUGGUCAUCACUGCACAGGACACUGGAAUUGGCAUUCGGGGUUGUGUCUGUCCAUGUGGUUUCGUUGUAUGUCAUGUGCUCUCAGCUCAGACAGAGACAUCCAAUUGACUUCUGACUUGGGGCAUUUAAACUUCAUACCACAGCUUUAUUUAGAGGACUUAUUUAUUGUAUUUUCCACUGUUUUUAUUUAAAAGUUGUAUAAAAAUUGUUAGGGCUGGUUUUGAUAUAGAAAAAUCAUUAUGACUGGUUUUGCUAAGUCCAUACACCUUUGUGGUCUGGGGAGCGGUGAGUGCUGAAGCAAAGGAAUGUCUGCAGAAACAAACAAGGGUGUUCUCUCAGCUUCAGAGACUGAUGAAGCAGGAUGAAGUGGGCUCCCGGGCAGAGAGUACUUGGAGAGAGAGUGGCCGCACAGUGCUCGAGCUGGGGCUGUGUGUACGACCGGCAGGAUCACGUGCUGAGCCUUGGGGGACUCAGCUGGGACCAUUAGAAGCUCUGGGGCCUGCUCCACCCAUUCUGACUGGUGCUGCCCUCAGGAAACCAUCUCUGCCUGAAACCCAUUAGGGCCAGGGAGAGUUGUCUGGCUGGAAAGGAAGAAGACGGAUGCUGGUGGUUUUUUGUCUUUCGCUUGUUGUUUUAGAGCCACUGAGAAGAUGACGGAGCCCUGCGACCAGGAACCUGACUCUUCAGCUCAAAUCUUGGUUUGAAAGGGGGACUUCUCUGUGCCCCUGUUGUCGGCAUGCCAUGGUAGAGAAUGGAUGGCCCACGCAGCUGGCCCCUCAUGAGACCCCAGCCAUCUCAUUCCACUGGGAGCCACGUCAGGACGAAGGAGGACUGGGAGGGGCGUCUGGCUGCGUGGUGUGGGGCCUGCAGUGUUGUGGCACACGCAGCUUCAGCCAAACAUCUAGCCCUGUACCUAGAACUAAGAAAUAAAACUAUAACAUCAGAUUUAAAAGUUCUCUGGGAACAUUUGUCCUGCCCAAAAUAGUAACUUGUCAUUUUUAAAAGAAUAAAACAGAGCUUUGAUAAGCCCCGUGGAUGCACCUGACACGAGAGAAUCAAUGGUGCAGGUGGAUUUGGGCUCAAGGUGGUUUUCAACACCCAGGUGAUGUCUAGGUGACUGGAAAGGGUGUCUGUUGGACUUGCACCUUUUUUCCCUGUGGAAGCUAUUUUUAUGCAGUUUUGUAUUUGUUCUCAGAACAAAUUGGCCAAAAACACUACCUUUAAGUGUGACUUGAUUUUUAGUGUACAUUUUCAGAUGUUAUGGGAAAUGCAUUCACAGUUGAGGUGUCAAAGCAGGGGAAGAUGGCUUCCUUGGCAAUAACAAGCAAAGGCAAACAUGUUUAUUUUUGUAUCUGUAAAAGCUGGUCGCUCUUUAAGUGUAGUUCCAGCAUCUAAAGUGGACACAGAACCUGUUCUUCAGGGCCUGUCACACCCUCACUGUCCAUGUGAGAGUUUGUCCCUCCUUGUGGAUACUGGGGGCAGGAGCUGCCUUCAGGCACACAGGCAUCAGCUGCCACCCUUCAGGGAGGGCUGGGGGCCAGUGGGCAAGUGGCUGCUGUUCCUCAGAGCAGCUCGUCAAAGGCAGCCCAGUUGGUCACAGGCAUUUUGGGAGGAGGAGACAGAAGUUCAAGGUCAAAGACAAGGUCGCAGUUGUGGAAGUGGGAGGGGCCCAGAGCACUGUGGGUGAGCAGCUGGGGAGCUUGGGGUGAGACUCUGCUGGGCCCUACCCAGCUGUGUUGCUUCCCUGCUUUCUGCCUCAGUUUCUUGCGUAACAAAAGCAGGUGGCAAGAUGAGGAGUUGAACACGAGGCCUGCGAGAGCUCUGAACUCUGCAAAGGGCUUCUCCACUGGAAACGUGUUGUGUGCUGCAGCCCUGGGUCUGUUUGAAAUGCAGGUUCUAUCAGCGGGGCUGGGCUGCUUCCCUCCCAGGGACAGGUCUACCGGGCAGCCUUGGGCAGUGGAUCUCUGAGGUGCUUCAUCCAGCUGCCUGUCCCCACACAUGCUCUGCACAGGGGGAGAGGACGCGAGGAAUGGGGAGCCGAUGCCCAUCAGGAAGGCCAGGAGCUGAAAGCAGCUUCCAGCCAGGAAGGAGGGAAGGGCCAGGCUCCAGGUUGGCAGCAGAGAGAAGCUCUUCCCCAAGCAGGAGGCAGGGGCACAGUCGCUGAUGAGGGAGGAUGGGGAGGAGACCCUCCUUGUUGGGAGAGGGGAGGUAGAUCCGAUCUGCUGAGUUUAGGGGAAGGGCACACCUACCGGACUUUGGAAGCAGAGAUGUAGGGUUGCUCCCUCCCUUUGAGACCUGUCACCAGCUGGCCGCAGCGCUGUAUGGAGAUGAGGCCUUCUUGAGGGCUCACAGCGGCAUGUCACCGUGUCCCUGGUGACCUGGGUGUGCAAUGCACCCAAGCACGCAGGGUCCCCCGGUGCCCAGAGCGUGAUGCCUGCCUUGGCGUGUGUGGCAUCGGGACCACAGCUUCCGCAGACAUCCCAGCUGGGGACAUCGGCUGACUUGGCUGAGGGACCAGGGGACAGACACCACCUCUCCUAUCCCCCAGGGGCGUGUGACCUGGGGUCCCUGGCAUGCUUGGUGCACACACCAGUCUACGGUCAGUGUACGCAGGGCUUGUCUGUGGGUGUCAUUGCCACACAGACUGAGCCUUCAGGGUGGCGCCCCUUCCUGGCCCACCCCCGCAGGCUGCUUCUCCGGUCGCAGCCCAUGUUCUAAUGUCGAGAUCGCGCGUGAGGUUCAGACCUUUGAACAGCCUGACUGUAGGAGCCGCCUUCCAGCCCGCUGGAAACGUGCGUGUGAGGCCGGGUUCUUACCCUCAGCACUGCUGACGUUCUGCGCUGGACAUUUCUUUGCUGUGGGGCAUCUGCAUGUGGAGAGCUAUCGGUGCCCCGGCCUCUGCUGUCUAGAUACCAGGAGCUUCCCCCCAACUUGUGCCAAUUAGAAUGUCUCCAGACAUCACCACAUGUCUGCUGGGGGCAGAACCACGGGGCUAAGUUGUGGCUGUCCCCUGUGGUGGGCUCUCUGUUGUGAUGAGGAAGGGCUGGGCCUGCAGGUGGACGUCCGGCCCCCUGACAAAGCUUGUAUGAGGGGACCCAAGAGCCUGUGGUGCCUCUGCCAAGCUCACUGGCAGGAACUGGGGGUCAGGCUCACUUCCUCCAGGGAGUGGGGAGCAGCCCUGCCAUUUGCGGUGCCAUAGAGACAGUUAAGCUUGAGAAUGUGAUUGCCGUUCUGAAAACACCCAGAGGCCGCAGUGUGCCCGGCAGAGAGCAAGGACCCCUGACCACCGGCUGGGUUGGUCCUGGGAGGGCCCCGGUGAUACCUGGGGGGUGUACACCAUGGAGCAGAGCCUCCUCCAGUGUAGCCUGGGAGCCUCUGUGAGGCCACAGCCCCCAGGAAGAGCACAGUGCUGCAUUCCCAGGUGCUGCCGGCUGCGCCCCUCCCAGCUGCGUGUCCUCACCUGCCGGCCCCAGCUGUCGCUGCCCACGCCCUGCCUGCCUCUCCUGACAGGAACUUCCCAAGCAGAGGCCUCAGGUAGCAGGCGCUCCUUGUCCCCUCUGCCACCUGGGCUGCUGAGGGUGUAUCACCAGGAGUGAGCUCAGGACCUGGACACCCAAGCCCAGGUGAGCAGCUGACACACCAAUGGCCAUUCCCGUCCCGGGCCCUGGUUCACCCAGCCAGGCCUCUGUGCCACUUUUCCACGGGACAUUCAGCUUCCCCUUUCCUCUCCUCUCUGCAGACCACUGAACUUUCGUUCUGAGGCACAAUGGGGCGUUCCCGUCAGGCUCUGCCCCCCUAGACAGAGGUGAGACCAGCUACGGCACAGCUCUUGGCAGCUGGGUGCCCCUCUGAGAUGGGCCAGGCAGCACGCUCAUGGCACCUUCAUGUGGCUUCAAUUCUCUGGCCAUUGCAUUCCUAACCAAAAUAUAAACUUCAGGAUCGUUUUGGAUUUUGCAUUACCCAAACCAUUUGCUUUUGAUAAUAACAGUGUCUUGGCAGAGUUCUUGCUCUUGGACUCCGUGUGGUGAUGGUGACCGCCGUGCACGGAACCCAUGGCAUGGGCAUCCGCCACUGUGCUUGUUAACUGAGGAGGAGGUGCAGUCGCUGCCCGGAAGGCACAGGCAGUGGCCAGGGGCAGCAGUGAGACCACACCGUUGUGAAACUCAUGCUCCUAACAACUCGCCUGCACCUCUCCUCUUGGCUCUGCAAGUCUUUGCAUGGAACAGCUGAUUUAACGUGGGCCCAGGGCAGCAGGGGACCCUAAAGCAAGCCUCCUGGGUGGGGGGAGGCAGUGGCAUGUCACUGGGACUCCCCUGUCCUGUUGGCCUUCUGUGGUGGAUUUGGGGGCCAGUGGCCCGCUGAGGGCAGGACACACCCUGGCAAGGGAGCGGGCGUGGGCGGGAGGGCAUGUUGCUGCAGUCUAGGGCAUGUGAGCUUGGCCUCCAGAGAUGAGCUCAUCCUCCCUGGGCCUUGCUGAGCGUCUGAGGCUUCUUCACCGAGGCUCACCUGAGUGACUUCAGCGCCGGGGGUUUACCAAGGAAAAACGUUCCCCUCCAGUUUGAAAAAAAAAAAAAAAA
Molecule: long non-coding RNA, 5999 nt
Filed under: Homo sapiens (human)
Lineage: Eukaryota; Metazoa; Chordata; Mammalia; Primates; Hominidae
Description: HSALNT0395461
Source: RNAcentral